Molecule: long non-coding RNA, 1420 nt
Filed under: Vigna radiata
Lineage: Eukaryota; Viridiplantae; Streptophyta; Magnoliopsida; Fabales; Fabaceae
Description: long non-coding RNA (VRAD_LNC000526)
Source: RNAcentral
AAAAAGAAAUUUGUUGAGAUGAAAGGAAUGAACUGCAUAGAAAAAGCAAGAUAAAGAGUCCUAUUAAGAAAACAAAACAGAAAACAACAAUGAAAAACCAAUUGACAUUAAGCAAAGUUACUCAGUAGAUCUAAAAGUUGCAGUCUAAGUGUCAAGGUAUGAAGAUGAAUUAUAGGCUUUGAUACCAUACCAUAUUUCACCAUCAAACCAAUUGAUAUUAGGUAAAGUUUUCCAACAAAUAGAUAUAAAUCGCACUCCCAGAUUUGAGACCUGCUAUAUAAGACUUUCCAACAAAAUCUAAGUGAUAAAGGUUCCACUUGAAAAAGAGAAUGAUUUUAUUAUUUUCAUUCAUAUCAAUUACAUUCUCCUUACCUCUAUUUGUAACAAUUUAAUCUUCUAAAAAAGGGAAAUAAGGAAACAAUGUACUACAAAAUAAUCUAGAAGAUCAUACACCUAUUUUAUCUAAUUAGGAAGACUCUAUAGAUAUUUUCUCUAAUUAAGAAGAUUCUAUAGAUAUUUCCUUUAAUUACAACACUUCCUUUCAAGUUGGUAAAUGAAUAUCAAUCAUUCCCAACUUGUCCACAAGAUCUUGAAAUCUACCCGGAGGGAGUCCUUUUGUAAAAAUAUAUGCUAUCUGAAGUUCUAUAGGAACAUGAGCUGUAAUCACAAAGCCUCUGUCUAGAUUAUUUUUGAUGAAAUGUCUGUCAAUUUCAAUGUGUUUGAUCUUGUCAUGUUGUAUUGAAUUAUGGGCUAUGUUCAUGGUAGACUUAUUGUCACAAGUUGAGAAAAAUGUUACUGAACAAUUUAAAUCCUUUGAGAUUUUUGCUCAUAGAUAAGACUAUUAACUAAUUGUGGAACAUGUAAGAUAUCCUUUAAUGCAAUAGAUGAGUCCAAAAUUAUAUUUUGAGAGUCGCAUAUAGGUAUACUCUGACCAUUCACAACUGUAAUAAGUUGUUCUUUAUUUCUUUUACCAUGAGUCGAAGGACACACGAAAAGGUGUCAUGAUCGCUUACAUUCAUAUCAAUUACAUUCUCUAUUUCUGAUACCAACUUGAAAAAGAAAAUGAUUUUAUUAUUUUCGUUCAUAUCAAUUACAUUCUCCUUACCUCUAUUUGUAGCAAUCUAAUAUUCUAAAAAGGGAAAUAAGGAAACAAUAUACUAAAAAAUAAUCUAGAAGAUCAUACACCUAUUUUCUCUAAUUAGGAAGAUUUUAUAGAUAUUUUCUCUAAUUAAGAAAGUUCUAUAGAUAUUUCCUUUAAUUACAACAGUUCCUAAUAUCUGAAGAUCUGUUUAUAUUUUUUUAAUUAAAAAUAGAUUGCAAAAUCACACCUAUCAAAGUGACAUGCCAAAGAAGCUUCCAAAACUAGAAUUCUGCUCCAAACAAAUGCUUGAAAUUGUAGCAAAUAUGGCAGUUUGCCAGG